This 367-nucleotide long non-coding RNA is filed under the name Oryza brachyantha (malo sina). Its description in RNAcentral is "long non-coding RNA (OBRA_LNC000004)". The record is from RNAcentral. Lineage: Eukaryota; Viridiplantae; Streptophyta; Magnoliopsida; Poales; Poaceae.
CGGCGGCGGAUCCAGCACGGGCCGCGCGGGCGGCGGUGGGCAGCGCCGGAUCUAGCCGGGGCGACGGUGGAUGGAACUCACGACGACGGGCGGCGCCGGAGCUCGGCGCAAAGGGCGGAGCCAGGGUGGCGAGCUCGAGGCGGCGGUGGGUGGAGGAGUCUCUGCAAGUUGCCUCUUUUUUCUAACAACGCCUGCAAGUUUCCUUUUUUUUUCCUAACAAACCACGUGUGUCCUCUGCUGGAUGCGAGUGCUCUCAUUGCAUCUCUCUUUUUCGUCCACUUAGAGCAAGUAUAAUAUGCGAGUGAUCUCGUAUUGGAUCUGUGGAUGAGCUGGAAGGGAGAGAGAGUGGGAGCGGACGACUGUUUUA